This 252-nucleotide ribosomal RNA is filed under the name uncultured bacterium. RNAcentral's name for it is "partial 16S ribosomal RNA". It matches the Rfam family "Bacterial small subunit ribosomal RNA", at positions 524 to 776 of the family's 1533-position model. The record is from RNAcentral.
UACGGAGGAUGCGAGCGUUAUCCGGAUUUAUUGGGUUUAAAGGGUGCGCAGGCGGCACGGCAAGCCGGCGGUCAAAUCGCGGGGCUCAACCCCGCCCAGCCGUCGGAACUGCCGGGCUAGAGUGGGCGAGAAGUGCGCGGAAUGCGUGGUGUAUCGGUGAAAUGCAUAGAUAUCACGCAGAACUCCGAUUGCGAAGGCAGCGCACCGGCGCCCUACUGACGCUCAGGCACGAAAGCGUGGGUAUCGAACAGG